CAGUUCGAACGCCCCGCAGGGGAGUGGCAGACGGGUGAGUAACGCGUGGGAACGUGCCCUUCGCUUCGGAAUAGUCCCGGGAAACUGGGUUUAAUACCGAAUACGCCGAAUUGGGAAAGAUUUAUCGGCGAAGGAUCGGCCCGCGUUAGAUUAGCUAGUUGGCGGUGUAAUGGACCACCAAGGCGACGAUCUAUAGCUGGUCUGAGAGGAUGAUCAGCCACACUGGGACUGAGACACGGCCCAGACUCCUACGGGAGGCAGCAGUGGGGAAUCUUGGACAAUGGGCGCAAGCCUGAUCCAGCCAUGCCGCGUGAGUGAAGAAGGCCUUAGGGUUGUAAAACUCUUUCGCCGGAGAAGAUAAUGACGGUAUCCGGAGAAGAAGCCCCGGCUAACUUCGUGCCAGCAGCCGCGGUAAUACGAAGGGGGCUAGCGUUGUUCGGAAUUACUGGGCGUAAAGCGUACGUAGGCGGAUUUGUAAGUAGGGGGUGAAAUCCCCAGGCUCAACCUGGGA
RNAcentral lists this ribosomal RNA (511 nucleotides) under uncultured bacterium. Its description in RNAcentral is "bacterial SSU rRNA". It matches the Rfam family "Bacterial small subunit ribosomal RNA", at positions 58 to 619 of the family's 1533-position model. The record is from RNAcentral.